AGAGGGAUAGCCCAGAGAAAUUUGGAUUAAUACCUCAUAGUAUAGUACUUUGGCAUCAAGGAACUAUUAAAGUCACAACGGCAAAAGAUGAGCAUGCGUCCCAUUAGCUAGUUGUAAGGUAACGGCUUACCAAGGCUACGAUGGGUAGGGGUCCUGAGAGGGAGAUCCCCCACACUGGUACUGAGACACGGACCAGACUCCUACGGGAGGCAGCAGCGAGGAAUAUUGGACAAUGGGCGCAAGCCUGAUCCAGGCCAUGCCGCGUGCAGGAUGACGGUCCUAUGGAUUGUAAACUGCUUUGUACAGGAAGAAACACUCCCUCGUGAGGGAGCUUGACGGUACUGUAGGAAUAAGGAUCGGCUAACUCCGUG
RNAcentral lists this ribosomal RNA (371 nucleotides) under uncultured bacterium. RNAcentral describes it as "bacterial SSU rRNA". It matches the Rfam family "Bacterial small subunit ribosomal RNA", at positions 137 to 507 of the family's 1533-position model. The record is from RNAcentral.